UCAACCAUAGUGUGCUNUGGAAACUGUCUGACUUGAGUGCAGAAGGGGAGAGUGGAAUUCCAUGUGUAGCGGUGAAAUGCGUAGAUAUAUGGAGGANCACCAGUGGCGAAAGCGGCUCUCUGNUCUGUCACUGACGCUGAGGCUNGAAAGCGUGGGUAGCGAACAGGAUUAGAUACCCUGGUAGUNCACGCCGUAAACGAUGAGUGCUAGGUGUUAGGCCCUUUCCGGGGCUUAGUGCCGGAGCUAACGCAAUAAGCACUCCGCCUGGGGAGUACGACCGCAAGGUUGAAACUCAAAGGAAUUGACGGGGGCCCGCACAAGCGGUGGAGCAUGUGGUUUAAUUCGAAGCAACGCGAAGAACCUUACCAGGUCUUGACAUCCCGAUGCUAUUCUCAGAGAUAGGAAGUUACUUCGGUACAUCGGAGACAGGUGGUGCAUGGUUGUCGUCAGCUCGUGUCGUGAGAUGUUGGGUUAAGNCCCGCAACGAGCGCAACCCUUAUUGUUAGUUGCCAUCAUUAAGUUGGGCACUCUAGCGAGACUGCCGGUAAUAAACCGGAGGAAGGUGGGGAUGACGUCAAAUCAUCAUGCCCCUUAUGACCUGGGCUACACACGUGCUACAAUGGUCGGUACAACGAGUUGCGAGCCGGUGACGGCAAGCUAAUCUCUGAAAGCCGAUCUCAGUUCGGAUUGGAGGCUGCAACU
RNAcentral lists this ribosomal RNA (702 nucleotides) under uncultured bacterium. RNAcentral's name for it is "bacterial SSU rRNA". It matches the Rfam family "Bacterial small subunit ribosomal RNA", at positions 609 to 1312 of the family's 1533-position model. The record is from RNAcentral.